UAGGGAUAAACUUUGGGUACACAGUACCCUUCUCCACACUUAGUGAUAUUAUAGUAGGUUGUUGUUUUUGAUAGAUGAGCACCACCUUUCGAUAGCGACUAAAUCCCUAAAUUCACCUGCCCUUGGGCUUUUCUCCUCAUUCUGCCAUUGAAUCAAAAAACCCGAUUCUUUUUUUGUUCUUCAAAAUUCACAAAUCACUCUACUAUUAAAAAGAUCAAAGAUUGAGAGUUUGAGGUUCGGAAAUGGAGAAGGAGAGCUAUUGCCUCUCUGCCAUCUCACCGUUAGAUGCUGUACUUCUUUUAACUAUUGGUGUGGUCACAAUAGUUAUGAUUCGAAUUGUCUAUAUUGUAUAUCGGAGAAGCAAACCGUUCAAUCCAAAAUCACCACUACCUCUCAGUACUCUUAUUGUUUUGGGUUCAGGUGGUCACACAGCAGAAAUGCUAAAUUUAUUAAAUGUGCUUCAAAUGGAUAGGUUUAAGCCAAGGUUUUAUGUUGCUGCUGCUACAGAUAAUAUGAGUCUCCAAAAGGCACGCGUGUGUGAGGAUUCCUUGGUUGAUAAGGUAUGUUACGAUGUAUUUAAUUCAAUUGGUCGUUAUAUUCCGUUUGUGUUCUUUUGCUGGGUCAAUUUGGGGAUUCAAAAUAUAAAGAAGUAAACACAUGAAGAAGCCAAGGGUAUUAAACAUAUACUGUAUAUACAUAAAAGAUAAACUUUGACCUUGUAUAUACAAUGUUAUUUUCCGGGGAAGGGGAUUCAGAUGAACCCUUUGCGGCUUGCGCCCCCUAGUGCCACCCCUGGAUACCAUCAUGACAGCCUAUUAAGAUGAAAAGGCAACAUGCGAGUGGAAUACAAUGAAUAUUCACUUGCUUCUCUGGCCGAGGAAUUAAAAGAUUUUUUACAUUAGAGUGAAGAUGACUAGGAGGCACUUCCUCUUGAGAAGUAGUUUGAUAGACAUUAAUUUGCUUACUUUAAUGAAUCGAAAUAUCUCCCUUAACUGAAUUUUUGUUCAGUGUAACAGAUAUAGUCAACAAAUUUUGUUGCCUAUGGUGUAAAUUAGGAAAUAAUGACUGCUUGAGGUACAUUCGCCAUCCUCAAAAUGGUCAGUACUUGCAUGGUUUCGAAAAUUCAUGAGCUCCAUACAUGCUAUUUAAGCUCACUUAAACAUUAUUAAAUGAAUUCACUGAUGUCUUGGUUUGUUUGAGGCUGCAAGAUACUAAGAUAUAAUUGAGUCUAGAGAGAUAAGCUCCUUUUCUCUACUUUAACAUCCAUCACAGAAAGUAAGAUUUACUUCGUAGCUGGGAACAAAUCUUAAGAUAUUACAGAAAAACCCCACAAAUUCAGAAGCUUCUGGGAUGGAUCUGUCUGCAACUAAACAAAGCAUCGGAAGCUGAAGGCAACAGCUACAGGAAACGAAAGCUCACAAAAACUGGCGUAGACUACUAUAUCCAAAAGAUCAAUUAGUAUGGGAGAUAUGUAAGUAUGGUAGCCAUACAAAGAAACAUGAGAAUUGUUCUAAUAUUGCCGAAGAUAUUUACAAAUGCUCGAUGGGAGCACAUUGCCAACGGGAUUUUGAGAUUUGUUGAAAAAGGAUUUGCUCACAGGAAAAAACACAACCACUAAGACUGUAUUGCUGAGGUUACUGAGAUUUAUCUGGUACGGCCUGAAUUUAUUUUAUCAACAAUGAAAGAUGAAGAAUAACCCCAAUCAGAACUGGUGGCACUAUUCUUCAGACAAAAUUGGAUUUCCUUAGCAGGUGUGAGGUCAGGAGAUUCAUUGGAAGCUACCAAGAGGUGCCUACGACCUUAAAAAUUCAAAAAUGUGUUUCAAAGUAAAUGGAAGGUAUCUACCAAAGUCCAGACUUUAAUUCCUCUUAGAAUUUCCAUAAAGAAGAGAAGCGGAGAGGAUCCUUACGGUUCAAGCUAUCAUAUCCACGGAUUGGUAGGAAUUCCUUGCUAGCUAUCCUUAUAACUUCAUACCUAGCUUCAUUUUAGGAAUUCAUAGCUAGCUAUCAUUUCUAUCAAUUCUAGCUAUCAUUUCUAUCAAUUCUAGCUAUCAUUUCUCGGAAUUCCUAGCAAGCUAUCAUUUCUAGGAAUUCAUAGCUAGCUAUCAUUUGUAGGAGUUAAUAGCGACCAUUUCUUGGAAUCUGUAGCUAUCAUUUCUAGAAACUUGUAACUAUCGUUUCGAGAAAUUCAUAGCUAUGAUUUCUAGGAAUUAGUAUUGUCAUUCCUAGAAAUUCGUAGCUAUCAUUCAUGGGAAUCCAUGGCUAUCACUCCUAGGAAUCUAUGGCUAUCAUUACUAGGUAUCCUUAGCUAUCAUCCCUAAGAAUCCCUAGCUAUCAUUCCUUGGAAUUCUUGGUAAUGAUGGCUAGGAACUUGUAGCUAUCAUUUCUAGCAAUUCAUUACUAUCAUUUCUAGCAAUUCAUUACUAUACUUUGUUGGAAUUCACUACUAUCAUCUCGUAUAUGGAUGACCAAAAACAAUUAAAAACAAUUGUUUUAUCGUUAGUGAACAGAGUUACCUGCUACCUGUUGUUGGUGGGAGGUGGCAUGUAUCCCCUGGAAUUAGUCGAGGUGCGCGCAAGCUGGCCCCGAAACCACGGUUAUUAAAAAAAAAUUAAAAAUAACUUCUGUGGAAUAUAUUGCAAAAAUGAACACUAAGUAAGACUUACACAAAAGAAAUAUUGCUUAGCGACCUUCUUGGUCUAUCUGUCACCAUAACUUUCUUAAUAAUAAUUUCUAUAGGAUUGGUUGGAAAACUUGAAGAGGUUCCGAGCAUCAUGAUGUUUCUCUCAAUUUUUGUAGACUUGCAACAUCUUGUUGGUAGAUUUAGAAAAUAACACUUUGUUGACUGAUAUUCCGAGAAGAAGAACACUUGGGGCUUGUUAGCUAAAACCUUUUCUUUAUAGUGCAUCAAAGAGUAAACAAGCAUAUGAAUAGUUGUGUAAUAAUUGGUGUAUUUUGAAAAAGCUGCAUUCAUUCUUGAAAUUUUGUUAGUAUUAUCAGCAUAUAUCUAAUACAAGAAUGAGUUUAUUCAUUACUGAGAGUGGUUAUUGAAACUUGAAAGUAGCGUGUUAAUGGAAAAUGUUAGUUAUAAAAGACAUGUCUUUUCAAAAGGUAGAGUAGUUGUCAAAUUCUUUCACUUAUGUCUGGUUCAUCUAUAGGAAAAUUUUCUUUCACUUAUUGUCUCAAUAAUUUUGAGACUAAAAAGAGAAACAUCUGCAUAUUUGUACAAUUUGUUCCCUUUUUAUGCUGAAAACAUUUAGCUAUCAAGUGUCUGCCCAGCUUUGCUCUAUGGUAUCUGCUUUUGUCCUUAGAGCUCAUCAAUGAUCUUACUUUUUUUAUGUACUUUGGAAUCUUCAAUUCCAGGUUAAGAGAAAAGUUAGUUUCCUUAUAGUAGUACCUUACUUUCUACCACAACAUAUGCAACCUAGUAGGUCGACUACUCUAUCCUUCUUCCCCUCUAAUUUUCUGAUGCUAUAUUUUAGAUAAAGGAAUAGGGUUGCGGUAGGUUGUCGGCCCGCUUAGAAAUUGUGAACUCUGUAAAUCUCUGAAUGUUGAGCCUUAAUAGAGCAAAAGGGGUACAGAGAAUUCAUCUAGCUG
Non-coding RNA from Nicotiana tabacum (common tobacco), 3596 nucleotides. Lineage: Eukaryota; Viridiplantae; Streptophyta; Magnoliopsida; Solanales; Solanaceae. The record is from RefSeq and is a predicted model, not a curated record.